GGGUUAGUAGGUUGGUCAUGCCUCUGGUAUGUACUGGACCCACUGAUUCCUCCUUCCUGACGAACCUUAAUGCCAUUUAUUUGGUGUUUUGGGGAAUUUGGACUGUUACUUUGAAAAAUUAGAGUGUUUAAAGCAAGCUAACGCUUGAAUACAUUAGCAUGGAAUAAUGAAAUAGGACGUUCGAUCCUAUUUUGUUGGUUUCUAGGAUUGACGUAAUGAUUAAUA
RNAcentral lists this ribosomal RNA (225 nucleotides) under uncultured Glomeromycotina. Its description in RNAcentral is "partial small subunit ribosomal RNA". The stretch from base 40 to 225 matches the Rfam family "Eukaryotic small subunit ribosomal RNA", at positions 686 to 874 of the family's 1831-position model. Lineage: Eukaryota; Fungi; Glomeromycota. The record is from RNAcentral.